ACGGGUGAGUAAUGCCUAGGAAUCUGCCUGGUAGUGGGGGAUAACGCUCGGAAACGGACGCUAAUACCGCAUACGUCCUACGGGAGAAAGCAGGGGACCUUCGGGCCUUGCGCUAUCAGAUGAGCCUAGGUCGGAUUAGCUAGUUGGUGAGGUAAUGGUUCACCAAGGCGACGAUCCGUAACUGGUCUGAGAGGAUGAUCAGUCACACUGGAACUGAGACACGGUCCAGACUCCAACGGGAGGCAGCAGUGGGGAAUAUUGGACAAUGGGCGAAAGCCUGAUCCAGCCAUGCCGCGUGUGUGAAGAAGGUCUUCGGAUUGUAAAGCACUUUAAGUUGGGAGGAAGGGCCAUUACCUAAUACGUGAUGGUUUUGACGUUACCGACAGAAUAAGCACCGGCUAACUCUGUGCCAGCAGCCGCGGUAAUACAGAGGGUGCAAGCGUUAAUCGGAAUUACUGGGCGUAAAGCGCGCGUAGGUGGUUCGUUAAGUUGGAUGUGAAAGCCCCGGGCUCAACCUGGGAACUGCAUUCAAAACUGUCGAGCUAGAGUAUGGUAGAGGGUGGUGGAAUUUCCUGUGUAGCGGUGA
Molecule: ribosomal RNA, 586 nt
Filed under: uncultured Pseudomonas sp.
Lineage: Bacteria; Pseudomonadati; Pseudomonadota; Gammaproteobacteria; Pseudomonadales; Pseudomonadaceae
Description: bacterial SSU rRNA
Rfam family: Bacterial small subunit ribosomal RNA
Source: RNAcentral